RNAcentral lists this ribosomal RNA (468 nucleotides) under uncultured bacterium. Its description in RNAcentral is "partial 16S ribosomal RNA". It matches the Rfam family "Bacterial small subunit ribosomal RNA", at positions 28 to 507 of the family's 1533-position model. The record is from RNAcentral.
GACGAACGCUGGCGGCGUGCCUAACACAUGCAAGUCGAACGGAAAGGCCCUGCUCUUGCGGGGUGCUCGAGUGGCGAACGGGUGAGUAACACGUGAGUAACCUGCCCCUGUCUUUGGGAUAAAUUCAGGAAACUGGGGAUCUUACCGGAUAGAAGAUCCUGCUGCACGGGGGGGGUCGGUAAGUUCCGGCGGUAGGGGAUGGACUAGCGGCUUAUCAGCUUGUUAGUGGGGUAGUGGCUUACCAGGUCUUUGACGGGUAGGCGGCCUGAGAGGGGGGCCGGCGACAUUGGGACUGAGGGACGGCGCAGACUCCUACGGGAGGCAGCAGUCGAAAAUAUUGCACAGUGGGCGGAAGCCUGAGGCAGCAAUGCCGCGUGCGUGAUGACGGCCUACGGGUUGUAAACCGCUGUCGCCUUUAACGUAGCGGGAUUGACGGUAAUGGGUAAAGAAGCACCGGCUAACUACGUG